CUCCCUUAUGAGUUUCUU
RNAcentral lists this small nuclear RNA (18 nucleotides) under Arabidopsis thaliana (thale cress). Its description in RNAcentral is "snRNA_05146". Lineage: Eukaryota; Viridiplantae; Streptophyta; Magnoliopsida; Brassicales; Brassicaceae. The record is from RNAcentral.